GACGAACGCUGGCGGCGUGCUUAACACAUGCAAGUCGAACGAUGAAGCCGGAGCUUGCUCUGGUGAAUUAGUGGCGAACGGGGGAGUAACACGUGAGUAACCUGCCCUUGACCCUGGGAUAACUGCGGGAAACUGUAGCUAAUACCGGAUACGACCAUCGGAGGCAUCUCCUGGGGGUGGAAAGAAUUUCGGUCAAGGAUGGACUCGCGGCCUAUCAGCUAGUUGGUGAGGUAAAGGCUCACCAAGGCGACGACGGGUAGCCGGCCUGAGAGGGUGACCGGCCACACUGGGACUGAGACACGGCCCAGACUCCUACGGGAGGCAGCAGUGGGGAAUAUUGCACAAUGGGCGCAAGCCUGAUGCAGCAACGCCGCGUGAGGGAUGACGGCCUUCGGGUUGUAAACCUCUUUUAGCAGGGAAGAAGCGAAAGUGACGGUACCUGCAGAAGAAGCACCGGCUAACUACGUGCCAGCCGCCGCGGUAA
This 484-nucleotide ribosomal RNA is filed under the name uncultured bacterium. RNAcentral's name for it is "partial 16S ribosomal RNA". It matches the Rfam family "Bacterial small subunit ribosomal RNA", at positions 28 to 523 of the family's 1533-position model. The record is from RNAcentral.